This 252-nucleotide ribosomal RNA is filed under the name uncultured bacterium. Its description in RNAcentral is "partial 16S ribosomal RNA". It matches the Rfam family "Bacterial small subunit ribosomal RNA", at positions 524 to 776 of the family's 1533-position model. The record is from RNAcentral.
UACGUAGGGUGCGAGCGUUAAUCGGAAUUACUGGGCGUAAAGCGUGCGCAGGCGGUUUUGUAAGCCAGAUGUGAAAUCCCCGGGCUUAACCUGGGAAUGGCAUUUGGGACUGCAAGGCUCGAGUGCGGCAGAGGAGACUGGAAUUCCUGGUGUAGCAGUGAAAUGCGUAGAUAUCAGGAGGAACACCGAUGGCGAAGGCAGGUCUCUGGGCUGACACUGACGCUGAAGCGCGAAAGCUAGGGAGCGAACGGG